UACGGGGGGGGCAAGCGUUGUUCGGAAUUACUGGGCGUAAAGGGCUCGUAGGCGGCCAACUAAGUCGGAUGUGAAAUCCUCAGGCUCAACCUGGGAACUGCAUCCGAUACUGGAUGGCUUGAAUUCGGGAGAGGGAUGCAGAAUUCCAGGUGUAGCGGUGAAAUGCGUAGAUAUCUGGAGGAAUACCGGUGGCGAAGGCGGCAUCCUGGACCGACAUUGACGCUGAUGAGCGAAAGCUAGGGGAGCAAACGGG
This 253-nucleotide ribosomal RNA is filed under the name uncultured bacterium. RNAcentral describes it as "partial 16S ribosomal RNA". It matches the Rfam family "Bacterial small subunit ribosomal RNA", at positions 524 to 776 of the family's 1533-position model. The record is from RNAcentral.